UGGCUCUGUAGCUCAGUGGAUAGAGCGUCGGUUUCCUAAACCGUGCGUCGGGAGUUCGACUCUCCCCAGGGCCAU
RNAcentral lists this transfer RNA (75 nucleotides) under Sporolactobacillus putidus. Its description in RNAcentral is "tRNA-Arg". It matches the Rfam family "tRNA". Rfam says of the family: Transfer RNA (tRNA) molecules are approximately 80 nucleotides in length. Their secondary structure includes four short double-helical elements and three loops (D, anti-codon, and T loops). The record is from RNAcentral. Lineage: Bacteria; Bacillati; Bacillota; Bacilli; Caryophanales; Sporolactobacillaceae.